RNAcentral lists this ribosomal RNA (253 nucleotides) under uncultured bacterium. RNAcentral's name for it is "partial 16S ribosomal RNA". It matches the Rfam family "Bacterial small subunit ribosomal RNA", at positions 524 to 776 of the family's 1533-position model. The record is from RNAcentral.
UACGGAGGAUGCAAGCGUUAUCCGGAAUCAUUGGGCGUAAAGCGUCCGCAGGUGGCUAUGUAAGUCUGCUGUUAAAGAGUGAGGCUCAACCUCAUAAGAGCAGUGGAAACUACAUGGCUAGAGUGCGUUCGGGGCAGAGGGAAUUCCUGGUGUAGCGGUGAAAUGCGUAGAGAUCAGGAAGAACACCGGUGGCGAAAGCGCUCUGCUAGGCCGCAACUGACACUCAUGGACGAAAGCUAGGGGAGCGAAUGGG